UGGGGAAUAUUGGACAAUGGGGGGCAACCCUGAUCCAGCAAUGCCGCGUGUGUGAAGAAGGUCUUCGGAUUGUAAAGCACUUUCGACGGGGACGAUGAUGACGGUACCCGUAGAAGAAGCCCCGGCUAACUUCGUGCCAGCAGCCGCGGUAAUACGAAGGGGGCUAGCGUUGCUCGGAAUGACUGGGCGUAAAGGGCGUGUAGGCGGUUUACACAGUCAGAUGUGAAAUCCCCGGGCUUAACCUGGGAGCUGCAUUUGAUACGUGUAGACUAGAGUGUGAGAGAGGGUUUGUGGAAUU
RNAcentral lists this ribosomal RNA (298 nucleotides) under uncultured bacterium. Its description in RNAcentral is "partial 16S ribosomal RNA". It matches the Rfam family "Bacterial small subunit ribosomal RNA", at positions 355 to 668 of the family's 1533-position model. The record is from RNAcentral.